AACGAACGCUGGCGGCAUGCCUAACACAUGCAAGUCGAACGAGACCUUCGGGUCUAGUGGCGCACGGGUGCGUAACGCGUGGGAAUCUACCCUUGGGUUCGGAAUAACAGUUAGAAAUGACUGCUAAUACCGGAUGAUGACGUAAGUCCAAAGAUUUAUCGCCCAAGGAUGAGCCCGCGUAAGAUUAGCUUGUUGGUGGGGUAAUGGCCUACCAAGGCGACGAUCUUUAGCUGGUCUGAGAGGAUGAUCAGCCACACUGGGACUGAGACACGGCCCAGACUCCUACGGGAGGCAGCAGUGGGGAAUAUUGGACGAUGGGCGAAAGCCUGAUUCAGCAAUGCCGCGUGAGUGAUGAAGGCCUUAGGGUUGUAAAGCUCUUUUACCAGGGAUGAUAAUGACAGUACCUGGAGAAUAAGCUCCGGCUAACUCCGUGCCAGCAGCCGCGGUAA
This 449-nucleotide ribosomal RNA is filed under the name uncultured bacterium. RNAcentral describes it as "partial 16S ribosomal RNA". It matches the Rfam family "Bacterial small subunit ribosomal RNA", at positions 29 to 523 of the family's 1533-position model. The record is from RNAcentral.